This 574-nucleotide ribosomal RNA is filed under the name uncultured bacterium. Its description in RNAcentral is "bacterial SSU rRNA". It matches the Rfam family "Bacterial small subunit ribosomal RNA", at positions 36 to 642 of the family's 1533-position model. The record is from RNAcentral.
CUGGCGGCGUGCCUAACACAUGCAAGUCGAACGAGAAAGUGGAGCAAUCCAUGAGUAAAGUGGCGACCGGGUGAGUAACACGUGACUAACCUGCCCUCGAGUGGGGAAUAACCCCGGGAAACCGGGGCUAAUACCGCAUAACAUCGCAAGAUCAAAGCCGAAAGGCGCUUGAGGAGGGGGUCGCGGCUGAUUAGCUAGUUGGUAGGGUAACGGCCUACCAAGGCCAAGAUCGGUAGCCGGCCUGAGAGGGCGCACGGCCACACUGGAACUGAAACACGGUCCAGACUCCUACGGGAGGCAGCAGUGGGGAAUUUUGCGCAAUGGGGGAAACCCUGACGCAGCAACGCCGCGUGGAGGAUGAAGUCCUUUGGGACGUAAACUCCUUUCGACCCGGACGAUACUGACGGUACGGGUGGAAGAAGCACCGGCUAACUCUGUGCCAGCAGCCGCGGUAAUACAGAGGGUGCGAGCGUUGUUCGGAAUUAUUGGGCGUAAAGGGCGCGUAUGCGGUGCGGUAAGUCACCUGUGAAAUCUCCUGGCUCAACUGGGAGCUUGCAGGCGAAACUGCCGUGCU